UCUGGGUNACGUCAUCCAGCAGGAUAAGCGACAUUCCACUGCCACGCAGGACGUGCUAGUCAUGGGAGGAACCCCACGUGCCAGGGCCGUUCUCUGUCUCUAACGACCUUGGGGGGGNCAGUGCGGGGAGGCAAACCGAUUUUUAUCCCCUGUAUUUCCCCCGUUAACGAUGAGGGUUAAGNUUUAGGGGUUUCCCCCCUUUGUUUUUCAAGUAACGCAUUAAGCAUUCCCCUGGGGAGUUCGGCCGCAAGGCUAAACUCAAAGAAAUUGACGGGGGCCGCCACAAGCGGUGGAGCAUGUGGUUUAAUCGAAGCAACGCGAAGACCCUUACCAGGUCUUGACAUCCUCUGACACUCUUAGAGAUAGGACUUUCCCCUUCGGGGGACAGAGUGACAGGUGGUGCAUGGUUGUCGUCAGCUCGUGUCGUGAGAUGUUGGGUUAAGUCCCGCAACGAGCGCAACCCUUGAUCUUAGUUGCCAGCAUUAGGUUGGGCACUCUAAGGUGACUGCCGGUGACAAACCGGAGGAAGGUGGGGAUGACGUCAAAUCAUCAUGCCCCUUAUGACCUGGGCUACACACGUGCUACAAUGGAUGGUACAAAGGGCAGCAAAACCGCGAGGUCGAGCCAAUCCCAUAAAACCAUUCUCAGUUCGGAUUGCAGGCUGCAACUCGCCUGCAUGAAGCCGGAAUCGCUAGUAAUCGCGGAUCAGCAUGCCGCGGUGAAUACGUUCCCGGGCCUUGUACACACCGCCCGUCACACCACGAGAGUUUGUAACACCCGAAGUCGGUGGGGUAACCGCAAGGAGCCAGCCGCCUAAGGUGGGACAGAUGAUUGGGGUGAAGUCGUAACAAGGUAA
This 856-nucleotide ribosomal RNA is filed under the name uncultured Bacillus sp. RNAcentral describes it as "bacterial SSU rRNA". It matches the Rfam family "Bacterial small subunit ribosomal RNA", at positions 670 to 1499 of the family's 1533-position model. Lineage: Bacteria; Bacillati; Bacillota; Bacilli; Caryophanales; Bacillaceae. The record is from RNAcentral.